AUGCAGACAGUUUAUGUUGUUUUUUGUCUGUCUGUUGUUUCUGCUGUACAGUGCCUGGAUUCCAACAUUAUCCGCUCCUCCAGAGAAAUGACAAACUCUCAAGAGUCAGUAUUGCAGCCACAGAGUGACACAGUUGCAAAUUCCCACAAUUAUGUUAGAAGAACCUCAGCUGUGCAGGGAAUCAGAGAAGCUACGCCUCCUGCGCACGACUGUACCACUGCACAAGCAGCUGAAUGCAAAGGCUCAAAGAAAAAACAGCACAAUGCUGCCAAGACAAAGAUUCAGUUGGAUGUGCAAGGAAGUCAAAAAGGUAAGGAUCCAGUUUUAUGUACUUUCAGUGUUUUUUUUUUUUUUUUACCAUGUAAAAUGUUUUUGGGUCAUACCUUUGGUCAAGUAUUGAUAUAUUAUCGCCUAUUAGUAAUUUUCCCUGUGCUGACAAGGACAGACAUUAUUGAAAUCAUUAACAACGUGCAUUCUCUGUCUGCAUCAGCCGUAAAAACUCUGCACGGGUGAAUUAAUGCUUUGUCAACAAUAGGAUAUUACAGUACAGUGAGCAAAACAGAGGUUUAAAAGACGAAACAUCAAACUGUUAAGUCAAAAUUAACAGUUCUUAAAAGUGAACUGAUAAAUUAGGACUAUAUAUAUAUAUAUAUAUAUAUAUAUAAAUGGUCAAAAUGACAUCAACAAUUGCAAGUGCAAGGCUUUUAAUG
Cyprinus carpio (common carp) is the source of this 710-nucleotide long non-coding RNA. Lineage: Eukaryota; Metazoa; Chordata; Actinopteri; Cypriniformes; Cyprinidae. The record is from Ensembl.